UGCAUGAAAGGAUUACCGACAUUG
Molecule: non-coding RNA, 24 nt
Filed under: Arabidopsis thaliana (thale cress)
Lineage: Eukaryota; Viridiplantae; Streptophyta; Magnoliopsida; Brassicales; Brassicaceae
Source: RNAcentral